RNAcentral lists this ribosomal RNA (460 nucleotides) under uncultured bacterium. RNAcentral describes it as "partial 16S ribosomal RNA". It matches the Rfam family "Bacterial small subunit ribosomal RNA", at positions 338 to 795 of the family's 1533-position model. The record is from RNAcentral.
CCUACGGGAGGCAGCAGUGAGGAAUAUUGGUCAAUGGGCGAGAGCCUGAACCAGCCAAGUAGCGUGAAGGAUGACUGCCCUAUGGGUUGUAAACUUCUUUUAUAAGGGACUAAAUGGAGCCACGUGUGCCUUUUUUCAUGUCCUUUAUGAUUAAGACUCGGCUAACUCCGUGCCAGCGGCGGCGGUAAGACGGAGGAUCCGAGCGUUAUCCGGAUUUAUUGGGUUUAAAGGGAGCGUAGAUGGUUUGUUAAGUCAGUUGUGAAAGUUUGCGGCUCAACCGUAAAAUUGCAAUUGAUACUGGCAGGCUGGAGUACAGUUGAGGUAGGCGGAAUUCGUGGUGUAGCGGUGAAAUGCUUAGAUAUCACGAAGAACCCCGAUUGCGAAGGCAGCUUACUAAACUGCCACUGACAUUGAUGCUCGAAAGUGUGGGUAUCAAACAGGAUUAGAUACCCUAGUAGUC